CCUACGGGUGGCAGCAGUGGGGAAUAUUGCACAAUGGAGGGAACUCUGAUGCAGCGACGCCGCGUGAGUGAAGAAGUAACUCGUUAUGUAAAGCUCUAUCAGCAGGGAAGUAAGUGACGGUACCUGAAAAAGAAGCUCCGGCUAAAUACGUGCCAGCAGCCGCGGUAAUACGUAGGGAGCAAGCGUUAUCCGGAUUUACUGGGUGUAAAGGGAGAGUAGGUGGAAGAGCAAGUCCGAAGUGAAAACCCAAAGCUCAACACUAGGAUUGCUUUAGAAACUGGUCAGCUAGAGUGCAGGAGAGGCAAGUGGAAUUCUUAGUGUAGCGGUGAAAUGCUUAGAUAUUAGGAAGAACACCAGUGGCGAAGGCAGCUUGCUGGACUGUAACUGACACUGAGGCUCGAAAGCGUGGGGAGCAAACAGGAUUAGAUACCCGGGUAGUC
RNAcentral lists this ribosomal RNA (440 nucleotides) under uncultured bacterium. Its description in RNAcentral is "partial 16S ribosomal RNA". It matches the Rfam family "Bacterial small subunit ribosomal RNA", at positions 338 to 795 of the family's 1533-position model. The record is from RNAcentral.